GAUCCGAUAGCUCAGCUGGGAGAGCGCCACCUUGACAGGGUGGAGGUCGGGGGUUCGAACCCCUCUCGGGUCA
This 73-nucleotide transfer RNA is filed under the name Fictibacillus arsenicus. RNAcentral's name for it is "Bacillus arsenicus tRNA". It matches the Rfam family "tRNA". Rfam says of the family: Transfer RNA (tRNA) molecules are approximately 80 nucleotides in length. Their secondary structure includes four short double-helical elements and three loops (D, anti-codon, and T loops). The record is from Rfam by way of RNAcentral. Lineage: Bacteria; Bacillati; Bacillota; Bacilli; Caryophanales; Fictibacillaceae.